Molecule: long non-coding RNA, 1531 nt
Filed under: Capsicum annuum
Lineage: Eukaryota; Viridiplantae; Streptophyta; Magnoliopsida; Solanales; Solanaceae
Description: long non-coding RNA (CANN_LNC006103)
Source: RNAcentral
CCUAAUGUCAUGCCCUGUUUUCGCCAAGGUUAAACAAAACAUGACUUAUUAGACUCUAGAGAAUUGAAAAUUUUUACAGAGUCGCCACCUAAUUUUUAAGGAAAAUAAGGAAACCUGUUUAUUCAUUAACACGUAUGAUUGAUGUUUUUAGUCUGCGAAAAACCAAUUGAGACUCUAGGUAAGGGUUCAAAUUAUCCCGAAUGGAAGGGGUUAGGCACCCUUCAGGAUCCACAAAUGUGGUACCCAACUAGACUAAACUUAUCAAUGAGGGAGGAGGUAUAAAUAUUUAAAAAUAAUGUAAAAGUGCAUGUGUAUUAAGUAUAAAAUAAUUUUUUUGAAAAAAUACCAAUUUAAAUUUAUGUAAAAGUAUAUGUAUAUUAAAUAUACAAAUAAAAUCUAUUGUUAUAGAAACAUGUAAAAGAUAUGUAUAAAUAUGUAUAAAUUACAUGUGAAAAAGAAAGUAUUUUGUGAUGUAUGAAAAGAAAUAUGUAAAGGAUAUGUAUAAAAAUGUAUAAAUUACAUGUAAAAAAGAAAGUAUUUUGUGACAUGAAAAGAAAUGUAUUUUGAUGUGUCAUGAAAAGGAAAAGCAUUUACAAGUAAUAUUUUUAUUUGAUUAAAGUUACGGAGAAAAGUAAAGAUUUAUUUGAAAAGAAAAGACUACAUAAUAUGUGAAUUAUUUGAUUAACUUAAUUCUUUUAUCUAAAUAUUAAAGGCCUAAGUUUUGCUUAAAAGCGAUGAAAUUAUGUAAAUAAAGAAUAUCCCCGCCCGGCACCCAAAAAUAAAGUUUCCACUAUCUUUUAUCUUUCUGUACAAUUAUACAAACGAGAAAUAAACUACAAACAUAAAGCUCGAGAAUUGUGUAUAAGUGCUUGAUAAAGUAAUGAAGAGAUAAUCAUUAAAGUAAGUGAAAUUAUGUGCACACAUAUGUACAUAUAGAUGUACAUAUAAAAAUAGUGUCUUGUUAUAAAAUGGGCUCGAAUUAAGUUUUAGACUCAUCAUGGCUACGAAGUGGUUGCUCGACUAAUCGGCCGUCCUAAAUCGCCUUGCCAAGAUACGAAUCAUAAAACCUUUUGUGGUGUCGUGGUGUUAUAAAAGUUUCGUCAUUGUCCAAAAUAUUUAAUUUUUUUAUUACGUAUUUAUAUACGUAAUAUCCGUCUUUUAUUAGUGGAGGCCUCAAAAAUCGACGGUAAUCUUUUCAUUGGCCAAGAAUAUUUAUUUUGACAUAAAAUAGAUAAAUUUGAAAAAAUAAAGUCUGUCUUUUGUAAUGAGGCGGCCUCAAAAAUUCGACGGAAAGAUAUUUUCAUCGGCCAUGUGUUGGCUUUUGAUAUAAAAUAAUGAAUUUGACAAAAUAAAUCUGUCUUUUGUCACGGAAUGGCCUCAAAUAUCUGACGGAAAGAUAAUUUCAUCGGCCGAAGUAUUUAUUUUGAGUAUAUGUAUGUGUCUUUGAGAAAAAUUAAAAGAUGAACUAAUUUUGUGUUUGAGGGAGAGGAGAAAGAGGUGAAAAAUAUGUGUGAAUUUUUUGAGAGAGAGG